CUGUGGAGAGCUCUAAUAAGAGAAUUAAAUAAUGUAAAAAUUGAUUGAUUUAGUCCCUUCUGCUUAGACGGACACAGCUGCAAGCCUGUAUCACUUUGUGAUCAUCGGAUUCUCAGACGAUAGUUUCUGCUGGUUUUUGGACCAGACCACAAAGGAAAUAGGCAGCCUGGGGUGUGAUGGGGUCCAACUGAACAGUCCAUUAUUUUAGCUCCUGGUCCGCUGGUGUGGAACUGGAGGUGGAGACCAAGCCUUGCAUCUGCUGAGUAAGCCUCCCUGAAACCCCUGCACAAGCCAAGAUUGCCAUUCUCAUUUGCCCUCCAUGAUUAAACACCCAAAACAAGGUAAAGAUCUGAUUAUUAUCUUUAAGACACAUUUAUAAUUUCAUGAAGAAAACGGAAUAGUAUGUUCCAUGUUGUUAGGGGCAUUAAAGACAAAGUUUAGCAGUUAAUAAGGCCAAUUGAGAUGUAAUGGGCUUCAUUUCAGCUGGAAAUAAUAACCCCACCUCACAUAAUUGCACACAGCUGCAAGUCACUGAUCAUUUGUGUGAUGAGGGUGAUCCAUGCUGAAGAAUUAGUGAGGUGCUGCAGAGAGGGUGAGAAGGCAGUUCCAGCAGAGACUGUGUGGAGGUGAGGAGUGCCGUGUCUGACCAAAUGGUCACCAUGACCUCAGGUGACUGCAAAGGAUGCUUCAGCUUAGCUGGGGACAUAACACACCUUCCCUCGUGUCUUACUUGGCUCCUCUUGAAUUUGCAGAAAUAAUGCCCUGUACGGUGAGUACCUGUAGCACAUUGAGAGGCAUAAAGUGUGGUCAUGGCAAUAUCGAAUAUUAAGGCCACCUGGAUUCAAAUCUCAUAUCUACAACUUUAUGGCUUUGUAAUUUUGGGAAAAGUAUUUAAUUCUCUCAUACCUCAAUUAACUUUAAAAUGGGAAUAAUAGUUUUUGGAGAGUUGCUGUAAAGAUUAAAUUCAUUCAUUCAUGUAAUAAUUUACAGUAAUGCCUAGCACAGACCAUGAUUCAAUAGGUGUUACCUGCUUUCUUAAUGGCAGCAGGAGCAGAAACUAUCUGUUUAAAUUCACUAUUCAUUCCUUAUAUCUGCUUCAGAAACAGUGAUCUUCUAUUGAAGAAGAAUAAUUUAAGUAACAUUGUUGUUUAUAUUUAACAAAGUGAAGUAUUUGUAAUAUCUAAAAGGGAUUUAUAAAUGUGGGAUAGUUUGGUAAUUUGCUUUUAUCAUAAAAAAUGCUGAAUUUGUUUACUAAUGCUUUUUAGUGAUUCUGAUAAAUGCCCAGUGCAAAUGUAUUUCUAUUCCUCAGUAAAAUUUUAGUGAUUUCCGCAAGGAAAAACAUUCAACAAUAGCAAAUCAACUAGGGGUAUAUUUUUAUUUUCUUUUAUUAUUAUUAUUUCUUUUUUAAGAAAAGCUACUGUUUAUUGAAAGCUUUCUAUUUGCUGGGGAAUCCUGUGAAGUGCUUUAUAUAUUUUAUCUCACAUCUAAUUCUUCAAACAACUAUGCAAAUAUAAAUUGCUACUCUAUUGCUAAAAACCUGUUAAUAAGAACACGAUAGGUGGUCAGUAGAGCUAAGAGUUGGCUCCCAAUUUCUACACUCACCCUCUUAACCACUGCUUUAGACCAAUUCCUGAGAAGAGUGAAAGGCAGCUUAGUCAGGGGUCCUUGCUCUGUUUUCCUCUGUCCUUUGACCUUGAACCCCGAACUGUCUCCCCCACUAAAAGGCAGGUCACGGUUAUUUGACUUCUUGUUAAUUUUUUGAUACUA
This 1767-nucleotide long non-coding RNA is filed under the name Callithrix jacchus (white-tufted-ear marmoset). Its description in RNAcentral is "lncRNA (ENSCJAG00000085246.1)". The record is from RNAcentral. Lineage: Eukaryota; Metazoa; Chordata; Mammalia; Primates; Cebidae.